Long non-coding RNA from Hipposideros armiger (great roundleaf bat), 1531 nucleotides. RefSeq lists it as uncharacterized. The record is from RefSeq and is a predicted model, not a curated record. NCBI's taxonomy places the organism in Eukaryota, Metazoa, Chordata, Mammalia, Chiroptera, Hipposideridae. The transcript has 2 exons.
UGUAAAAUGGGGAUAAGAAUAGUACUCACUUUGUAUGGUUAUUGUGAGGGUUAAAUAAAGUUAAUGUAAUGAAAGCACAUAGAUCAGUGUGUGGCACAUUUUAAGCACAGUAGCGGGAGAAGUUAUUGUGAUAAUAACGAGUAUUGUGGCUGCUUGUGUCGAGGACACACUGGAGGGGACCAGGGUGGACGCAGAGAUGCCAUAUGGGCAGCUCCUGCCCUGGUCCAGGAGAAGAAUGAGAGUGGCUUGGACUAGAUUGGCCACAGUGGAGGGAGAGAGAGAGCUGGUCAGAGCUAGGAAGAGCUGGCAGGAGUUGCCCGUGGGUCAGAUGUGAAAUACGAGAGAAAGAGGAGUCGAGGCUGCUCCAAGGAUUUUGCCUGGAGCAUUUGGAAGAUGAAGUUGCCAUUCACUGAGGGAAGUUCCAUGGGAUAAUGAAGCAUAUGUGUGAGCACAGAAGAUGCACCAGGUGGCAGCAAGCAGGCGCCGGCCAGCAAGAACGGUGGGUAGUGGGCAGCAUGGGUGCUGAGCAGUUGGCCUGGCCACCUGGCAUGCACCCGCAUGGCUGGGCAGUCUGGGACACCGUGGGGCUGCAGAGAGGUGGCUGGGCCAGGAUCUGUGCCCAGAUGGGCAGCAGCAGAAAAUGGCUGCGGUCCACCAAGGCCACGGUGAGAGAAGGGACCCCACAUGGAUAACAUCUACACAAAUAUAAGCUCUGCAGCCUACGUCUGGAGCAGGAACUGCCAGCACUCACGCAGUAAACUGUCAGUAAAUUAUUAUAAAGCCGUGGAUGUUGCAAUAAAGCUCAUUAGAGAGUUAGAAUUCCUCAGAGUUUAAUGUCUCUGGUUUUGAAAACUGCUGCAACAUUGCAAAGCAAAGAAGUAUUCACAGGCUUUGAAACAGAAGUUAAGUUUAAAGAUCACAUUCUAUAGAAAAGAGUUCUAUUUUCAUGUGACAUUUCAUUAUUGAGGAAGGCAAUUAAAAAAUUUUACCUUGUAAUUGAAGAUACAACAAUCAAAUGCAUAGAGGUUAUUAAAAUUAUAUACAAACCAUGAAGUCAGUUUCAAUUUCUUGUCCAACCUCCACCAGUUAUAGAAAAUGUACUAAAAUUUAUAUUUUGAAAUAAUUUAUGAGAAAUUGCUCCUAAUGUGAAAGCCUAUGAAAUAUUCUUAACAACUUCAGUCACAGUUGCAUCUGCAAAAAGAUCCUUCUCCAAAUUAAAACUUAUAACAAAUUAUCUGUGACCUUGCAUUUGCCAGGAAUGACUGUCAUAGCUUUCAAGUACAGGCAGACCUUGGACAUAUCGCGGGUUCACUUUCAGACCACUGUAAUAAAGUGAGUAUCGCAAUAAAGCAAGUGGUAAUCUUUUUGCUGGUGGAGGGUCUUGCCUUCAGUUUGUAAAUCAAAGGCAACACCUGUGAAACUCAAUUAAGUGAAGCACAAUAAAAUGAGGCAUGCCUGUAUGUCAAUUGAAAUGAAGUUGGCAAAAGUAUUAUUUUGACAACCUAAUAAAUGAAUUUGCAGAAAACGCUAA